UAGGGAAUAUUGGACAAUGGGUGAGAGCCUGAUCCAGCCAUGCCGCGUGCAGGAAGAAGGCGUUAUGCGUUGUAAACUGCUUUUGCCAGGGGAUAAAAUGACCGUGCGCGGUUAAUUGAAGGUACCUGGUGAAUAAGCCACGGCUAACUACGUGCCAGCAGCCGCGGUAAUACGUAGGUGGCAAGCGUUGUCCGGAUUUAUUGGGUUUAAAGGGUGCGUAGGUGGCCCUGUAAGUCAGUGGUGAAAUAUCUCAGCUUAACUGAGAGGGUGCCAUUGAUACUGCAGGGCUUGAGUACAGAUGAGGUAGGCGGAAUUGACGGUGUAGCGGUGAAAUGCAUAGAUAUCGUCAAGAACACCGAUAGCGAAGGCAGCUUACCAAGCUGUAACUGACACUGAGGCACGAAAGUGUGGGGAUCAAACAGGAUUAGAUACCCCUGUAGUCCCUGAGCGGGCUGGCAAGGCGCAU
This 466-nucleotide ribosomal RNA is filed under the name uncultured bacterium. Its description in RNAcentral is "bacterial SSU rRNA". It matches the Rfam family "Bacterial small subunit ribosomal RNA", at positions 355 to 825 of the family's 1533-position model. The record is from RNAcentral.